RNAcentral lists this ribosomal RNA (492 nucleotides) under uncultured bacterium. Its description in RNAcentral is "partial 16S ribosomal RNA". It matches the Rfam family "Bacterial small subunit ribosomal RNA", at positions 29 to 507 of the family's 1533-position model. The record is from RNAcentral.
AGUGAACGCUGGCGGUAGGCCUAACACAUGCAAGUCGAACGGCAGCACAGUAAGAGCUUGCUCUUACGGGUGGCGAGUGGCGGACGGGUGAGGAAUACAUCGGACUCUACUUUUUCGUGGGGGAUAACGUAGCGAAACUUACGCUAAUACCGCAUACGACCUACGGGUGAAAGCAGGGGAUCUUCUGACCUUGCGCGAUUGAAUGAGCCGAUGUCGGAUUGGCUAGUUGGCGGGGUAAAGGCCCACCAAGGCGACGAUCCGUAGCUGGUCUGGGAGGAUGAUCGGCCACACUGGAACUGAGACACGGUCCAGAGUCCUACGGGAGGCAGCAGUGGGGAAUAUUGGACAAUGGGCGCAAGCCUGAUCCAGCCAUACCGCGUGGGUGGAGAAGGCCUUCGGGUUGUAAAGCCCUUUUGUUGGGAAAGAAAAGCAGCAGGUUAAUACCCCGCUGUUCUGACGGUAACCAAAGAAUAAGCACCGGCUAACUUCGUG